Pelobates cultripes (western spadefoot toad) is the source of this 660-nucleotide non-coding RNA. The record is from the annotation of a GenBank genome assembly. NCBI's taxonomy places the organism in Eukaryota, Metazoa, Chordata, Amphibia, Anura, Pelobatidae.
CAUGAGUAACCCUCUAAUGGAGCCUCAUGUUAUUUCACAUGUCAGUGUGAAAAGCAGUUCAAAAAAAGUGUUUUUUUUUUGCAUUAUUCUCACAGUACAAUGUGGCAUUUUCCAGAGAAAUGUAUUCCCUACCUCAUACUAUGAUAGGAAUGGAUAGGGGCUCACAUGGUUUUAAUACUGACAAUGCAAAGUGGCACACAAGUACGCCAGCAUAUUCAUGUCUGAAUUAAAAAUAAAAAGGAUUACCAAAAUGAGUUAUGCAAAAGAAGUGUCAUGAAAUGGUGGCAUUAUAUCAAUGAUGUGCUGGUUUGUGGGAUGGUACAUACAUACCUGAAUUUUCAUUUAAAAAAUAAAAAGUAACAAGCUUUAAACUAAUCUGUAUAGGAAACCUAGAUAAGAACACUACCCUACACAUUACCAUGCUCCGACGGUCUUUAAAGCUGUACCUAUAAGUCAAUAUAUGAAAGUAAAGAGGCUAGUCUCUAAAAACAGACAGUUCAUCAAGAACAAGUAGCCAUGACAGAAAGGUUCAAACAAUGAGGCUAUCCUGUUGGGAUUGGAUGCUUCAUUAAGUAAUGUAGGAGAUCGGGAUCAAAGAGCUGUUCAUCUCAGACCACCUAAGCGUGAGAAGAGAAUCAAAUUUAUUUCAUGCUAUGGUAC